Molecule: ribosomal RNA, 483 nt
Filed under: uncultured bacterium
Lineage: Bacteria
Description: partial 16S ribosomal RNA
Rfam family: Bacterial small subunit ribosomal RNA
Source: RNAcentral
UUGAACGCUGGCGGCAGGCCUAACACCUGCAAGUCGAGCGGUAGAGAGAAGCUUGCUUCUCUUGAGAGCGGCGGACGGGUGAGUAAUGCCUAGGAAUCUGCCUGGUAGUGGGGGAUAACGUUCGGAAACGGACGCUAAUACCGCAUACGUCCUACGGGAGAAAGCAGGGGACCUUCGGGCCUUGCGCUAUCAGAUGAGCCUAGGUCGGAUUAGCUAGUUGGUGGGGUAAUGGCUCACCAAGGCGACGAUCCGUAACUGGUCUGAGAGGAUGAUCAGUCACACUGGAACUGAGACACGGUCCAGACUCCUACGGGAGGCAGCAGUGGGGAAUAUUGGACAAUGGGCGAAAGCCUGAUCCAGCCAUGCCGCGUGUGUGAAGAAGGUCUUCGGAUUGUAAAGCACUUUAAGUUGGGAGGAAGGGCAGUAAAUUAAUACUUUGCUGUUUUGACGUUACCGACAGAAUAAGCACCGGCUAACUCUGUG